GAGAAAGCAAACAUAGAGAUGCAACAAAUUAUAUCAGCCCAAAGUUUUCCUUAUGCCUAACUAAGGUCGACCCAUCUACUUUUCAUGUGGAAGAAGCACUGGAAGCCCUGAGAGAGUGAGGACAAAUGAGGGAAAUGGUCCCAACAAGUACUCAGUGAUGCUGUCAGGUUCAUAAUGUAUAGUCUCAUAAAGGAGCAGCACCUUUUCCUCCAACAAAGAGGAAGAGACAAAGGAAAAAAUAGAAGAAGAUAUGAAAGAGUCACAAUAAGACUUUGAGCUGGAUGAUUAAGAUGUGAGUGUACCUAGCCCACAAUCUCUUUGCUCAUUCGUCAUUGUAAAAGCAAGCCCUCCAGGGACCUAGAGAAGAAUGGGACCACAAAAUGGAAGGAACCUAGGUCCCAUGGAUCACAUGGAAGGUGCCCCACCACAAACAUACAUGUAAAUGGACAAGAGUGUGCAUGAAAAAUAAACUUCUAUUUUAAUCAGCCACUGAGAUUUGGAGUUUUAUCUAUUACAGCAGACAGCAUCAGCUUCACCAAUAUAUGGAGCUAUUGGUGAUCCGUGUUCACUGACUGGGAGAAUCAGUAGAUUUAAAAA
Molecule: long non-coding RNA, 597 nt
Filed under: Equus caballus (horse)
Lineage: Eukaryota; Metazoa; Chordata; Mammalia; Perissodactyla; Equidae
Description: lncRNA (ENSECAG00000045211.1)
Source: RNAcentral